This 482-nucleotide unclassified non-coding RNA is filed under the name Bombus terrestris (buff-tailed bumblebee). RNAcentral's name for it is "misc RNA ENSBTSG00005033583.1". The record is from RNAcentral. Lineage: Eukaryota; Metazoa; Arthropoda; Insecta; Hymenoptera; Apidae.
GGCCCUCAAAAGAUUAACGAGCGUGCUCCAAAUAACGCGCGUGUACAUCUUCAAAGUCCAGAUCAGGCCUCGUCAGAACCAUCUUCAACGAGCCUUCGUAUCCGAGAUACCACGCCGAUAAUACGAAUGGAAGGACGAGUCUCCGCGCGUCCUCGUUUCAAGACGAGGCAAGACGAUACGUAACCGCGCGAAAGAGAGUGGCGGAUCGAUGGAUGGGUCGAGGCGAGACACGCGCUAAUCGCGAAUACCGUUCGGUUUCGAGAGCAACCGGAGUCACAGGAUCGGCUAACAAUGAGGACGGUAUCCAGAUAAAUUCCAGCGAGGAGAACCCUCGAGGUAUGUUUACUCCGACAGGCUAGCAGGAAAUGUUCGGAUGCCUGCUGCGUCGUUGCGUUCUCCGGAGCCGCUUGUACCAGCGUUACGUAUCGCGAUUGUUAUGUUGCUUACGCUGGGACGCGGAUUCCAACGCCACUGAUGUUCCC